Non-coding RNA from Cinara cedri, 313 nucleotides. NCBI's taxonomy places the organism in Eukaryota, Metazoa, Arthropoda, Insecta, Hemiptera, Aphididae. The record is from the annotation of a GenBank genome assembly.
AAGUAAAUUCCGUCAUUUUAUAGUUAAAUGGUAGGUUUUAAUGAUGGAUUAUAAUGAUAUGUAGUUGACUUAUAUUCAAUGAAUAUUUGAGUAUAUAAUUUAUAAUACACCAGCAUCCGGUGACUAUAUGACAGUUACAAAUAAAUAUUAUGUUUAACAUAAAUAUGUCCGUUUAUUUUAAGCGUGAAAUAGACAUUACGCGUUAUUGGCUAUUACUCAAAAAAUUGAUUUUGUCUAAUUCUCACUGUGACAAACCGACAUUCUUCGUAUAAAUCUACAACUAUUAUAAUAUAUUACGUGAAAUGUAUCGUUA